GGCGACAACAGGGGAGGUGAAGCUGUUGGGACUUUGGAGGAGUCCCUACGUGACCAGGGUGGGGAUCGCUUUGAACCUCAAGAAAGUAGGGUACGAGUUCGUGCAGGAGGAGGUACAAGGGCAGAAGAGCGAGAUCCUGCUGAAAUCCAACCCUGUGUACAAGAAGAUCCCCGUCCUCAUCCACCAGGGAAAGCCCGUCUGCGAGUCCGCCAUCAUCGUGGAGUACAUCGACGAGAUUUGGACCAGCGAGCCUCCCAUCCUCUCCUCCCACCCCUUCGACCGCGCCGUCGCUCGCUUUUGGGUCACCUACAUUGAUGACAAGGUUGGUCUCCACGCCUUCCCUUAUGGCAUCCAUUUCAACGUGCUUAAAUAUUGAAUUUGAUGUGGCACUUAAUUCCUUCGUUUUCUGGCAGUUGCUUGCGCUGGUUAGGACUCUCGCUUUCGGAGCAACCGAAGGGACGUCCAAGGCAGAAGUAGCAGACGGAGGGGCAGAAGCUUUUCAGCUGCUGGAAGAGGCUUUCGCCAAGUGCAGCCACGGGAAGGAGUACUUUGGUGGUGACACCAUUGGCUACGUGGAUAUCGCCCUGGGGUGCUGGCUGGGGUGGAUCAAGGCGGUGGAGGAGGUGAGCAACAUCAAGUUCUUGGACGAGAAGAAGGUUCCACUACUGGUGGGAUGGGCGGAGCGCUUCUUGCAGAACGAGGCAGCGAAGGGAACCAUGCUGGAGGCAGACGAAUACGUACAACGUGUUAAAAACCUUUCAGCGUCUGCUCGUUAACAGAAGUCGAUGGUUCUUCGUGAGCGUGAUAGCGAGCUGCUAAAUUUCUGCAAAGGACGUUUAAUUGGCUCCGAGAAUUGCAAUCUGCUUUCUUCUGGCUUGUUAGCAUCAACAGUUCACUGUAACUCGCAAAUAAAAGACAUUUGGUCGAUAACUAUUUCGCUCUCCCAAGCGCAGUUGGGUUUAUGAAUCUUCCUUGAGAAAAGUCUGAAAUAAUAAAGGAAAUGGAACCAUUAUUUUCCUUAUUUUCUUCUUUCUUUCUUGAGCUGGCUUUCUGCUUAUAAUUGAGUUAGUAGAUGGGAUUGUCUAAGACACAUCUUUAUUAGGUGUAGAAAACUAUAUGUAAAUCCAAGUUCUCAAUUUAAAGCAUGAAUCAAUAUUCUCAUAAAUCAAUCUAAAUAUUAGUUUAUUUUCGAUGUAAAAUUAAAUUGAGAUGUUACGAUCACAUAAUCUUUUGCUCAAAAUUUUCUUCUCUUUUGCAGCAGCAACUUUUGAGCCAUACCUUUUACAAAAGUAUUGCAUGACUAAGGCAAAAUCAAUUAAAUCAUUAAUAUCCUUCUUGGUGACACUUGUCUCAGUUGAUCAUGUUGCAUGGAACUGUUACAAAAGUAUCACCUGUCUUCAAAACAUUAUCAUCUUGUAGGAAAGGAGAUGUUCGAUCUUCUCCACCUAGAAGAUUACAGAGAAGUAGGCAGAAAUGAUAGAACUUCCCCUUCGCUCUAAUCCAAUGAUCCAUGAUGGAGUAUCCGUGGCAGAACCCACGGUUGCGGUGUCAAAUCAAACCAGAUUAAAGGCUCGCAGUGGUUUGUCACACCCCUACCGACCUCAGAAUAUAUAUCAUUUCACAGCACAAACUUCCCGAUUUCCAUCCACCCAUAAAUAUUAUAUAUAGGUCAUGACGGCCAGAAAUCAACGACAGGAGUAGAUAGAUUAAAAUAGUCAUCUCGAGUUGAACAUCCGCAUGAAACCGACAAGAUGGAAAUACGGUAGUCAUUCGUAUAUAUGCAUAGCCAUCGCAGUGUUAUUGGCAAUCGGCACAAGCUUGUGCUCUGAUCUAUCGCUGAGGCAAAAUGGCAGCAGCUGCAACAGGGGCGGUGAAGUUGUUGGGGCAUAAGAUGAGCCUCUUCGUGACGAGGGUGGAGAUCGCUUUGAACCUAAAGAAAGUAGGGUAUGAGUUCGUGCAGGUGGAGGUACACGGGCAGAAGAGCGAGAUCCUGGUGAAGUCCAACCCUGUGUACAAGAAGAUCCCCGUCCUCAUCCACCAGGGAAAGCCCAUCUGCGAGUCCGCCAUCAUCGUGGAGUACAUCGACGAGAUGUGGACCAGCGAGCCUCCCAUCCUCCCCUCCCACCACUUCGACCGCGCCGUCGCUCGCUUUUGGACCACCUACAUCGAUGACAAGGUUGAUCUCCACGCCUUCCCUUAUGGCAUCCAUUUCAACGUGCUUUAAGCUUGAAUUUGAUGUGGCACUUAGAUCCUUCGUUUUCUGGCAGUUGCUUUCGCUGCUUAAGGCUCUCGCUUUCGGAGCAGCCGAAGGGUCCUCGAAGGCAGAAACAGUAGACCGAGUGGCAGAAGUGCUUCAACUGCUGGAAGAGGCUUUCGCCGAGUGCAGCCACGGGAAGGACUACUUUGGUGGUGACACCAUCGGCUACGUGGAUAUCGCCCUGGGGAGCUGCUUGAGAUGGAUGAAGACGGUGGAAGAGAUAAAGAACGUCAGGCUUUUGGACGAGAAGAAGGUGCCGCUGUUGGUGGAUUGGGCGGAGCGCUUCUUGCAGGACAAGGCUGUGAAGGAAGUCACGCCGGAGAUUGACGAAUUCCGACAAUAUGCUAAAAUGAUUUUAGCAUCUGCUCGUUAAAAUUCUAUAUGACUUGGGUUUCAGUUUGUGAUCAUUCUGCGUGAGAUUUGGGUUUAUGUUUUGUGAUCGUUGCACUAUGUUUUCUGCUGGUUUGUAGGAAUUGCGCUAUGUUGUUGGCGUCCGUGUUAUUUAACCAAAUAAGUUAUUGCCAUAUGGAUGAUUUUGACUAAAUGAAAUAUUAUAUUGCAUGGCGACCAGAAAUUAACACGAAAAGAAGAGAAUGGACAGAUUAAAGUCGCCAUCCUCGAGUUGAAUGUCAAACAUUUCUUGGCGUAUACGCAACGACAAUAUCCUUGGAAUAUAUACAUAUAUAUAUUUUGGACCAACACAGGCUUGUCCUCCAGUCUAUGACGGGAGCAGAUGGCAGCAGCGUUGGACCUUCGCCCCUUCGUCAUGAGGGUGGAGAUCGCUUUGAAGCUAAAGAAAGCAGCGUACGAGUUCGAAGAGGUGGAAAUACUUGGGCAGAAGAGCGAGAUCGAUAGAAGAUCGGAGAUAAAUAUGAAAUCAUAAUUUUAUAUUUUUAUAUAUUUCAUUUUUUAAUUAAUUUAUAAUUUGAUUGAGUAAUAUAGAUUUAAAUUAAUUAUAGAUUUAAAUGUAUGAUUUGAUUGAGUAAUCUUAGUGAUUGAUGGGGAGUAAUAUCUCCCUUCAAACCUAUAUAAAUAUAUAUUACUCUAACGAAUGAAAUCAAUCACUUUCACAAUAAAUUUCUUACUUUUUUAUGUUAUCAAAAUUACUCGUUUUUCUCUCCUCUCUCUUCUUUUACCUGUUCUUUAUUGUGCUCGGAGAUCGAGUCUUCAUGUCCAUGUUCACAAUGAGCAGUUAUUGUCAUCUCCUCUGUCCCCUUCUCACAUCACAUGCAUACCGCAAACAGUGAUCCCUUGUUGAUCUGCAAUCAAAAGGUGGGCCGCAACCAUCCUCCCCUCUUGCUCUAAUGAAUCCUCCCUUGGUGCUUGGUGCAUGGUGCCAAUUACUUAUUCAACGAUAAAUAGUGCAGCAUCCAAUCAUAUCUGACAUAUAUGUCAUUUUCUUUCAUUUAUUAUUUCCUCGUGAAACAAUAGUUCAUCCCAAUAUAUAAGACUCAUGUAACUACUUUAACCCCUUUCAAAUUUUUCAAAAAUGAUAAUUAUGUAUCUUGACUAGCAUAAUUCACUAAUAUCUUCUUUGGAUAUGAUCUAUUAGAGUACAUCGACAGCUCUCUUAGUUAUAUAUCAGAAAAGAUCCAAAUACUUAAAAAAACUCAUCAUAAUGAUAAAUUCUGAUAACAAGUUAUGACUAUGACAAGAUCAUCCUAUUUUAUAAGUCAUCCAAGCUUUAAUCGUUGGCUCCAUAGCACCACUAAUCUCUUUGUAUAAUACUAUAACAUAAUCAUAGUCCAAGUUAUAAAUCAUCUUCGUCAAUCGCUCUUGCACUUUUAUGCUAAAUCUUUUAUCUACUUUGAUGAAAAUAAUAUGGAAGUACUAUUGCUGAUUAUAUAUAAAAUCUAAAAAAUACUUAAGGAUGACUUGACUUAAUAUGUUAUUUUCUGAGUGAUGAAGAAAUUAUUGUUUAUGUGUUUAAUAGCCUAGGAGAUGAAUAUAAAGAAUUGUCCAUAGCAAUUUGGGCAUAUGACUUAUCAAUGUCAUUUAAAAAACUAUAUUACAAGUUGAUUAAUUAUGAAAGAUAUGUGAUACCAGAAAAGAGGAUGACGAAAUCAAUAAUCACAAUUUAAUUCAAUCAAAAAAAAAAAAAAGAUAAUUAAAGCAACAAAAACUUCAUAAAGAAUUAAAUAAGAUAUCUCAUGGAUAAAUGAUAACACAUGGAGCUAUCAUCCUCUAUUAUACUAUCAAAGCAAUAACUAUGGUAGCAAAUUCAAAUUAAUCAACUCAAUAAAUAAUUUUAACUAUAACUAUUAAUAGUUAUAACAUCCUAAUAACAACAAUCAAUAAAAAAGUCAUCUAUUAACUCUAUGAUAAAAUAGGAUACAUAACAAAAGCUUGUUGGUCUCGACCCAAGUCUAUUGUAAUAUCCAAUUGGCCUCGAGCAAACAUCAUUACUACUCCAAUACUCCAACUGUUCAUCCAAGUAAUUGAAUUGUUGACUCCAGUACCUCUCAUUAUAUAAUUUCUGAUUUAUAAAAAUUCACAAUAACUAUGAAAGUAAUGAAGAUAUCAUUAUCGAUGACGGUAACAGAAUUCAUAUUAUUCAUAUUAGUUUCACAACACUUAAUUCAUACAAAAACAUUUGUACAUCUGAUGAUGUUUUAUGUGCAUCUCAUAUUAAAAGAAACCUUAUUUCUAUUUCUCAAUUCUAAAAUAAAAUAACACAUCUAUUAAGUUCUUUCUUGACUUAUUUUUUAUCAAUAAUCUUAGUAGGGGGCAUCUAUGGUCUAAUAUCAGAAAAAAGAUGACAUCUAUGAGUGAGUGAUCAUCAGCUUCACAAAUCAUCCGAUUAAUCACCCUUACUUCAAUUGUUGCUUCAAUCAAUGUGUGACAUCACCACCUUGGUCAUUCAUCAUCAUCCAUUCAACAAUAUCUAAUUUCUUAUUGCUUCAUUUCAACUUUCAAAUUAAAUUGAAUUACAACUUAUUAUGAUGCUUGUCUUAGUAAUAAAAGACAAACUAUUUUUUAGAAUAACUUUCAUAUCAUGCUUUAAAUCACUUGAAAUUAUUUAUACUAAUGUCUAGGGCUCUAUCUUAACUAUUUAUUUUGAUAAUUUUAGAUUUUAUAUUAUUUUUAUAUAUUACUUUACUAAAUAUAUAUGGUUAUAUUCUCUUAAACAUUUAUCUGAAGUUACCAUUAUUUUUACUCGUUUUAGAAAGGUGAUCGAAAACACCUUCUAGACUACCAUUAAAAUAGUUUACUCUAAUAAAGGAGGUGAAUAUCAAACUCUAAUAAUUUAUAUUCCAGUAUAUUGUAUAUAAUAUCUUAAGUCACCACCAUACACAUCUUAACUAGUUGACUCUACAAAAUGAAAGCAUUAGUUGAAACUAAUUUCACCCUUCUACAUCAAGCCUCAAUGUUACUGACCUUUUGGUCAGUAGUUUUUUAAACUAUAAUUUACCUCAUUAAUUGAAUACUCACCCAAUCCUAUAAUAUCAAUUAUUAUUUAAAAAACUAUUUUAUUAUUUUAUAAAAUCUUAAAUUCAAGCCUUGUAUCUUCAUUGGGUACUCCACUGAACAUAAUAUUUUUCGAUGCUAUGAUUCUCAAAUUCAAAAUAUCUUUGUAUUAUAUCAAAUUAUUUUUGUUAAGUCUUUUUUUUUUUUAAAUCUCACUUUAAUAGUACAAAUCACUGCAAUAACUAUUCAUCAUUAGGUUCAUACGAGUACAUCUCACGUCCCCUAAAGCACACCUCCCACCGCAUCAAUUAAUAAUUCUCUAGACCUAUAUUCCCUUGUUACUCUAGUACAUCUCACAUCCCCUCGAGCACACCUCACCUUAUUACUCCAGUGCAUCUCAUAUCCCCUCAAGUACAUCUCACAUCCCCUCAAGCACACCUCACCCUCUUGAUGACACUUGUCUGUUGCAUGGUACUGUUACAAAAGUAUCACCUGUCUUACAAACAUUAUCAUUUUGUAGGAAAGGAGAUGUUCGAUCUUCUCCACCUACACGAUCACAGAGAAGUAGGCAGAAAUGAUAGAACUUCCCCUUCGCUUUAAUCCAAUAAUCCAUGAUGGAGUAUCCGUGGCAGAACCCACGGUUGCCGUGUCAAAUCAAACCAGAUUAAAGGCUCGCAGUGGUUUGUCACACUCCUACCGACCUCAGAAUAUAUAUCAUUUCACGGUACAAACUUCCGAUUUCCAUCCACCCAUAAAUGUUAUAUAUAGGUCAUGACGGCCAGAAAUCAACGACAGGAGUAGAUAGAUUAAAAUAGUCAUCUCGAGUUGAACAUCCGCAUGAAACCGACAAGAUGGAAAUACGGUAGUCAUUCGUAUAUAUGCAUAGCCAUCGCAGUGUUAUUGGCAAUCGGCACAAGCUUGUGCUCUGAUCUAUCGCUGAGGGAAAAUGGCAGCAGCUGCAACAGGGGAGGUGAAGUUGUUGGGGCAUAAGAUGAGCCUCUUCGUGACGAGGGUGGAGAUCGCUUUGAACCUAAAGAAAGUAGGGUACGAGUUCGUGCAGGUGGAGGUACACGGGCAGAAGAGCGAGAUCCUGGUGAAGUCCAACCCUGUGUACAAGAAGAUCCCCGUCCUCAUCCACCAGGGAAAGCCCAUCUGCGAGUCCGCCAUCAUCGUGGAGUACAUCGACGAGAUGUGGACCAGCGAGCCUCCCAUCCUCCCCUCCCACCACUUCGACCGCGCCGUCGCUCGCUUUUGGGCCACCUACAUCGAUGACAAGGUUGGUCUCCACGCCUUCCCUUAUGGCAUCCAUUUCAACGUGCUUAAAGAUUGAAUUUGAUGUGGCACUUAAUUCCUUCGUUUU
Molecule: long non-coding RNA, 7025 nt
Filed under: Musa acuminata (dwarf banana)
Lineage: Eukaryota; Viridiplantae; Streptophyta; Magnoliopsida; Zingiberales; Musaceae
Description: long non-coding RNA (MACU_LNC002503)
Source: RNAcentral